AUUGAACGCUGGCGGCAUGCCUUACACAUGCAAGUCGAACGGCAGCACGGAGCUUGCUCUGGUGGCGAGUGGCGAACGGGUGAGUAAUAUAUCGGAACGUACCCUAGAGUGGGGGAUAACGUAGCGAAAGUUACGCUAAUACCGCAUACGAUCUAAGGAUGAAAGUGGGGGAUCGCAAGACCUCAUGCUCGUGGAGCGGCCGAUAUCUGAUUAGCUAGUUGGUAGGGUAAAAGCCUACCAAGGCAUCGAUCAGUAGCUGGUCUGAGAGGACGACCAGCCACACUGGAACUGAGACACGGUCCAGACUCCUACGGGAGGCAGCAGUGGGGAAUUUUGGACAAUGGGCGAAAGCCUGAUCCAGCAAUGCCGCGUGAGUGAAGAAGGCCUUCGGGUUGUAAAGCUCUUUUGUCAGGGAAGAAACGGUGAGAGCUAAUAUCUCUUGCUAAUGACGGUACCUGAAGAAUAAGCACCGGCUAACUACGUGCCAGCAGCCGCGGUAAUACGUAGGGUGCAAGCGUUAAUCGGAAUUACUGGGCGUAAAGCGUGCGCAGGCGGUUUUGUAAGUCUGAUGUGAAAUCCCCGGGCUCAACCUGGGAAUUGCAUUGGAGACUGCAAGGCUAGAAUCUGGCAGAGGGGGGUAGAAUUCCACGUGUAGCAGUGAAAUGCGUAGAUAUGUGGAGGAACACCGAUGGCGAAGGCAGCCCCCUGGGUCAAGAUUGACGCUCAUGCACGAAAGCGUGGGGAGCAAACAGGAUUAGAUACCCUGGUAGUCCACGCCCUAAACGAUGUCUACUAGUUGUCGGGUCUUAAUUGACUUGGUAACGCAGCUAACGCGUGAAGUAGACCGCCUGGGGAGUACGGUCGCAAGAUUAAAACUCAAAGGAAUUGACGGGGACCCGCACAAGCGGUGGAUGAUGUGGAUUAAUUCGAUGCAACGCGAAAAACCUUACCUACCCUUGACAUGGCUGGAAUCCCCGAGAGAUCAGGGAGUGCUCGAAAGAGAACCAGUACACAGGUGCUGCAUGGCUGUCGUCAGCUCGUGUCGUGAGAUGUUGGGUUAAGUCCCGCAACGAGCGCAACCCUUGUCAUUAGUUGCUACGAAAGGGCACUCUAAUGAGACUGCCGGUGACAAACCGGAGGAAGGUGGGGGUGACGUCAAGUCCUCAUGGCCCUUAUGGGUAGGGCUUCACACGUCAUACAAUGGUACAUACAGAGCGCCGCCAACCCGCGAGGGGGAGCUAAUCGCAGAAAGUGUAUCGUAGUCCGGAUUGUAGUCUGCAACUCGACUGCAUGAAGUUGGAAUCGCUAGUAAUCGCGGAUCAGCAUGUCGCGGUGAAUACGUUCCCGGGUCU
RNAcentral lists this ribosomal RNA (1352 nucleotides) under uncultured bacterium. RNAcentral's name for it is "bacterial SSU rRNA". It matches the Rfam family "Bacterial small subunit ribosomal RNA", at positions 28 to 1381 of the family's 1533-position model. The record is from RNAcentral.